CCUACGGGAGGCAGCAGUGAGGAAUAUUGGUCAAUGGGCGGAAGCCUGAACCAGCCAAGUAGCGUGCAGGAUGACGGCCCUACGGGUUGUAAACUGCUUUUAUACGGGAAUAACGCGCCUUACGUGUAGGGCUUUGCAUGUAACGUAUGAAUAAGGAACGGCUAAUUCCGGUCCCGCAGCCGCGGUAAUACGGAAGGUCCGGGCGUUAUCCGGAUUUAUUGGGUUUAAAGGGAGCGUGGGGCGCAUGUCAAGCGUGCUGUGAAAUGUCCGGGCUCAACCCGGGCCUGGCAGCGCGAACUGGCGUGCUUGAGUCCGCGGAAAGCAGGCGGAAUUCGUGGUGUAGCGGUGGAAUGCUUAGAUAUGACGAAGAACCCCGAUUGCGAAGGCAGCUUGCUGCAGCGGAACUGACGCUGAUGCUCGAAAGCGCGGGUAUCGAACAGGAUUAGAUACCCCUGUAGUC
This 460-nucleotide ribosomal RNA is filed under the name uncultured bacterium. Its description in RNAcentral is "partial 16S ribosomal RNA". It matches the Rfam family "Bacterial small subunit ribosomal RNA", at positions 338 to 795 of the family's 1533-position model. The record is from RNAcentral.